This 499-nucleotide ribosomal RNA is filed under the name uncultured bacterium. Its description in RNAcentral is "bacterial SSU rRNA". It matches the Rfam family "Bacterial small subunit ribosomal RNA", at positions 28 to 517 of the family's 1533-position model. The record is from RNAcentral.
GAUGAACGCUAGCUACAGGCUUAACACAUGCAAGUCGAGGGGCAGCAUGUCGGUUGCUUGCAACCGACGAUGGCGACCGGCGCACGGGUGAGUAACGCGUAUCCAACCUACCCUUGUCCAUCGGAUAACCCGUCGAAAGGCGGCCUAACACGAUAUGCGGUUCUCAGCAGGCAUCUAACGAGAACGAAAUGUGAAGGAGAAGGAUGGGGAUGCGUCUGAUUAGCUUGUUGGCGGGGUAACGGCCCACCAAGGCAACGAUCAGUAGGGGUUCUGAGAGGAAGGUCCCCCACAUUGGAACUGAGACACGGUCCAAACUCCUACGGGAGGCAGCAGUGAGGAAUAUUGGGUCAAUGGGCGAGAGCCUGAACCAGCCAAGUAGCGUGCAGGACGACGGCCCUAUGGGUUGUAAACUGCUUUUAUAAGGGAAUAAAGUGAGUCUCGUGAGACUUUUUGCAUGUACCUUAUGAAUAAGGACCGGCUAAUUCCGUGCCAGCAGCCG